GCCUCCCAUGCCUUCCCCUCAACUGAUCUGCUUGCUGUUCUCUGUCCAUCACCUGGAAUAGCCUCCCCUGUCUGUCCUUGGGGAUCCCCGGCUUCCUUUGAGGCCCAGCCCUGACUUGACCUUCUCUGAUUUUCCCAGAUGUCCGUGCGAUUUCUUCUUCGAACUUGCUGUGUGCCAUUUCCUCUUCAGGAUUCCUGUGGCUUAUGUAGAAUGGCCUGUGAGGGCAGGGAUGCUUCUGUUGUAUGUCUGCAUCCGGAGCAGCACGAAGUAGCACUGAGCCCAUGGGCCCGUCUGCAGAUGACAGAAUGCCACCAACUCCCCAGAGACAGACAUCCCCAGAUAUCAAUCGUUCCUACAACAGAAAUCUCCUUCAUUGCUGCACCUGAUAUCUCAGAGGCCCUUGGCCUAAGUGAAUCCAAGAUCUUAGUUUGGGACUUGUGAUAAUUAAAAUGUUUUGGGAGCAAGGGAAAUAUAUAACAAAUAUGACCACUUGAAAUAUGUUUUCUACUGUGUCUUGGUUUUAUAUAAAUAUAAGAUGGUCGCCAGGGAAUAUAUUCCCAAUUUAUGAAUAUGCCCAAGCCAACUGGGUUUUAUAGAGAAAUUUAAUUUAUAAUACACUGAUUAAUCAAUAGAAAAAGAGAGAAAGUAAGAAAGGAAUAAGAAUGAAUAAAUCAGUCAGUUGGUUUUAUCA
This 691-nucleotide long non-coding RNA is filed under the name Monodelphis domestica (gray short-tailed opossum). RNAcentral's name for it is "lncRNA (ENSMODG00000036942.1)". The record is from RNAcentral. Lineage: Eukaryota; Metazoa; Chordata; Mammalia; Didelphimorphia; Didelphidae.